Molecule: ribosomal RNA, 253 nt
Filed under: uncultured bacterium
Lineage: Bacteria
Description: partial 16S ribosomal RNA
Rfam family: Bacterial small subunit ribosomal RNA
Source: RNAcentral
UACGAGGGGGGCAAGCGUUGUUCGGAAUUAUUGGGCGUAAAGGGAGUGUAGGCGGUUUGGUAAGUCGUGUGUGAAAUCUUCGGGCUCAACCCGAAGUCUGCACUCGAAACUGCCGGGCUUGAGUAUGGGAGAGGUGAGUGGAAUUCCUGGUGUAGCGGUGAAAUGCGUAGAUAUCAGGAGGAACACCUGUGGCGAAAGCGGCUCACUGGACCAUUACUGACGCUGAGACUCGAAAGCUAGGGGAGCAAACAGG